AUUGAACGCUGGCGGCAGGCCUAAUACAUGCAAGUCGAACGAGUGGCGGACGGGUGAGUAACGCUUGGGAACCUGGCUUAUGGAGGGGGAUAACGACGGGAACCUGUCGCUAAUACCGCGUACCAUAGGCUGAGCCCAGGUGGGAUUCGGUAGUUGGUGGGGUAUCGGCUUACGAAGUCGACGAUGCCUAGCUGGUCUGAGAGGAUGACCGGCCACACCGGAACUGGGACACGGCCCGGACUCCUACGGGAGGCAGCAGUGGGGAAUAUUGCGCAAUGGGGGCAACCUGACGCAGCCAUGCCGCGGGAAUGAAGAAGGUCUUCGGGUUGUAAAGUUCUUUCGGUGACGAGGCGUUAAUCACAGAGAAAGCACCGGCUAACUCCGUGCCAGCAGCCGCGGUAAUAC
This 405-nucleotide ribosomal RNA is filed under the name uncultured bacterium. RNAcentral's name for it is "partial 16S ribosomal RNA". It matches the Rfam family "Bacterial small subunit ribosomal RNA", at positions 30 to 526 of the family's 1533-position model. The record is from RNAcentral.